This 253-nucleotide ribosomal RNA is filed under the name uncultured bacterium. RNAcentral's name for it is "partial 16S ribosomal RNA". It matches the Rfam family "Bacterial small subunit ribosomal RNA", at positions 524 to 776 of the family's 1533-position model. The record is from RNAcentral.
UACAGAGGUCUCAAGCGUUGUUCGGAUUCAUUGGGCGUAAAGGGUGCGUAGGCGGCGCGGUAAGUCGGGUGUGAAAUCUCGGAGCUUAACUCCGACACUGCAUUCGAUACUGCCGUGCUUGAGGACUGGAGAGGAGACUGGAAUUUACGGUGUAGCGGUGAAAUGCGUAGAUAUCGUAAGGAAGACCAGUGGCGAAGGCGGGUCUCUGGACAGUGACUGACGCUGAGACGCGAAAGCGUGGGGAGCAAACAGG